Chiroxiphia lanceolata (lance-tailed manakin) is the source of this 406-nucleotide long non-coding RNA. RefSeq lists it as uncharacterized. The record is from RefSeq and is a predicted model, not a curated record. Lineage: Eukaryota; Metazoa; Chordata; Aves; Passeriformes; Pipridae. The transcript has 3 exons.
GCCUUGAUGGUGGAAAGGACGUGUCUGAGGUGGGAGGAAAAGACAUCCUGUGGUCCCUACUAAAGCAUAAUUCUCUGAAGAACAACAAUUUGAAGAGGUUGAACCAACAGAUAAAAAUACAGACUGAUGACUACUUAAAAGUUCCUUAGGAAUAAUGGCUAAUGAAUUGGAAAAAAAACAGAAGAAAGAAAUAGCUUAACACCUAAAUACCAGCAGAAACUCCUGCUGAGACAAAUGUUCCAGGGUGUGUUCACUGUGACAUUCAAAGGGAAGAAAAGUGCAAAGGGGCAAGAAAGCAGAUGUGUUAUAACACUAUGAUUCAUUUUCUUAGAGGGUUAAAAUUCAUGCAAGAGAAAAUCAGUGGUGAAGUUAUAGUACAGAAUCAUCAUUUGAAUCAUAACAAGAA